RNAcentral lists this ribosomal RNA (207 nucleotides) under uncultured bacterium. Its description in RNAcentral is "partial 16S ribosomal RNA". It matches the Rfam family "Bacterial small subunit ribosomal RNA", at positions 568 to 774 of the family's 1533-position model. The record is from RNAcentral.
UGCGUAGGCGGUUUGGCAAGUUGGUAGCGUAAUUCCGGGGCUCAACUUCGGAACUACUACCAAAACUGCCAGGCUUGAGUGCGGCAGGGGUAUGUGGAAUUCCUAGUGUAGCGGUGGAAUGCGUAGAUAUUGGGAGGAACACCAGAGGCGAAAGCGACAUACUGGGCCGUAACUGACGCUGAGGCACGAAAGCGUGGGGAGCAAACA